Molecule: long non-coding RNA, 629 nt
Organism: Ictalurus punctatus (channel catfish)
Lineage: Eukaryota; Metazoa; Chordata; Actinopteri; Siluriformes; Ictaluridae
Source: Ensembl
AAAAAAACCUAAAACAGGUACUGGUGAUCUUUAAACAAACAAACAAACAAAAAACUCAAACGGGUAUUGGUGAUCUUUAAACAAACAAAUAAACAAACAAACAAAAACUCAAACGGGUACUGGUGAUCUUUAAACAAACAAACAAACAAACAAACAAACAAACAAACAAACAAAAAACUCAAACAGGUACAAGUGAUCUUUAAACAAACAAACAAACAAACAAACAAAAAAACAAACAAACACUCAAACAGGUACAGGUGAUCUUUAAACAAACAAACAAACAACAAAAACUCAAACAGGUACAGGUGAUCUUUAAACAAACAAACAAUCAAACAAACAAAAAACUCAAACAGGUACUGGUGAUCUUUAAACAAACAAACAAUCAAACAAACAAAAAACUCAAACAGGUACUGGUGAUCUUUAAACAAGCAAACAAACAAACAAACAAACAAACAAAAAAACAAACAAACACUCAAACAGGUACUGGUGAUCUUUAAACAAGCAAACAAACAAACAAACAAACAAACAAACAAAAAAACAAAAAAAACACUCAAACAGGUACAGGUGAUCUUUAAACAAACAAACAAACAACAAAAACUCAAACAGGUACAGGUGAUCUUUAAACAAAC